AACGCGAAGAACCUUACCCAGGCUUGACAUGCAGUAGACGAUGCUAGAAAUAGCAUUUCCCUUCGGGGCUGCUGCACAGGUGCUGCAUGGCUGUCGUCAGCUCGUGCCGUGAGGUGUUUGGUUAAGUCCAGCAACGAGCGCAACCCUUAUCGUUAGUUGCCAUCAUUCAGUUGGGCACUCUAAUGAGACUGCCCGGGUUAACCGGGAGGAAGGUGAGGAUGACGUCAAGUCCGCAUGGCCCUUAUGUCUGGGGCUACACACGUGCUACAAUGGUCGGUACAGAAGGCAGCCAAACCGCGAGGUGGAGCAAAAUCCUCAAAGCCGGCCUCAGUUCAGAUUGUAGUCUGCAACUCGACUACAUGAAGACGGAAUUGCUAGUAAUGGCAGGUCAGCACACUGCCGUGAAUACGUUCCCGGGCCUUGUACACACCGAGACGAC
This 439-nucleotide ribosomal RNA is filed under the name uncultured bacterium. RNAcentral's name for it is "bacterial SSU rRNA". It matches the Rfam family "Bacterial small subunit ribosomal RNA", at positions 958 to 1398 of the family's 1533-position model. The record is from RNAcentral.